CGGGUGAGUAACGCGUGGAAAACCUGCCGUAUACUGGGGGAUAACACUUAGAAAUAGGUGCUAAUACCGCAUAAGCGCACAGCUUCGCAUGAAGUGGUGUGAAAAACUCUGGUGGUAUACGAUGGUUCCGCGUCUGAUUAGCUUGUUGGUGGGGCAAUGGCUCACCAAGGCGACGAUCAGUAGCCGGCCUGAGAGGGUGAACGGCCACAUUGGGACUGAGACACGGCCCAAACUCCUACGGGAGGCAGCAG
This 251-nucleotide ribosomal RNA is filed under the name uncultured bacterium. Its description in RNAcentral is "partial 16S ribosomal RNA". It matches the Rfam family "Bacterial small subunit ribosomal RNA", at positions 103 to 354 of the family's 1533-position model. The record is from RNAcentral.